This 313-nucleotide long non-coding RNA is filed under the name Elaeis guineensis (African oil palm). RNAcentral's name for it is "long non-coding RNA (EGUI_LNC005441)". The record is from RNAcentral. Lineage: Eukaryota; Viridiplantae; Streptophyta; Magnoliopsida; Arecales; Arecaceae.
AUGGAACAGGAGAAAUACGUGACGGAUUUUUCUUUCUUUUUUUUUUUUGAUAUAUACAAAUGGAUAGAUUUUAGGGAGCUAGCGGUCAAAUAUCGUCCUAUUUUCAGAUCUAUUUUUUGGAGUGCUCCACCAUAUAGAAAGAGAUCUAUUCAUCGUCUAAUAAACAUGUCGGAUUGACACUGCAAUUGAAAAAUGAAGAGCAGUCCAAGAAGCUAAUUUUAAAUGAAAAGAGAAUUCCAUAUAAAAUACUUUGCAACUAUCUUCUUUUGAUAUAAAUUUCUCUGCAGCUAUCAAAAUUUGCUAUAUCGCCCCA